UACACACCGCCCGUCACACCAUGGAGUGGGUUCCACCAGAAGUAGUUAGCCUAACCGCAAGGAGGCGACUACACGGUGAGAUUCAUGACUGGGGUG
This 96-nucleotide ribosomal RNA is filed under the name uncultured bacterium. RNAcentral describes it as "partial 16S ribosomal RNA". It matches the Rfam family "Bacterial small subunit ribosomal RNA", at positions 1384 to 1482 of the family's 1533-position model. The record is from RNAcentral.